AACGAACGCUGGCGGCAGGCCUAACACAUGCAAGUCGAGCGAGGACUUCGGUCCUAGCGGCGGACGGGUGAGUAACGCGUGGGAACGUGCCCUUUGCUUCGGAAUAGCCCUGGGAAACUGGGAGUAAUACCGGAUGAGCCCUUUGGGGGAAAGAUUUAUCGGCGAAGGAUCGGCCCGCGUUGGAUUAGGUAGUUGGUGGGGUAAUGGCCUACCAAGCCGACGAUCCAUAGCUGGUUUGAGAGGAUGAUCAGCCACACUGGGACUGAGACACGGCCCAGACACCGAGGGGAGGAGGCAGGGGGGAAUUUAAGACAAGGGGGAAAACCCUGAUCACGCCAUGCGGGGUGAGGAAGGAAGGCUUUAGGGUUGUAAAGCUUUUUCAGCGGGGAAGAUAAGGACGGGACCGGAAGAAGAAGCCCCGGCUAACUCCGUG
Molecule: ribosomal RNA, 433 nt
Filed under: uncultured bacterium
Lineage: Bacteria
Description: partial 16S ribosomal RNA
Rfam family: Bacterial small subunit ribosomal RNA
Source: RNAcentral